GAACGCUGGCGGCUGCCUAAUACAUGCAAGUAGAACGCUGAAGAGAGGAGCUUGCUCUUCUUGGAUGAGUUGCGAACGGGUGAGUAACGCGUAGGUAACCUGCCUUGUAGCGGGGGAUAACUAUUGGAAACGAUAGCUAAUACCGCAUAACAAUGGGUGACACAUGUCAUUUAUUUGAAAGGGGCAAUUGCUCCACUACAAGAUGGACCUGCGUUGUAUUAGCUAGUAGGUGAGGUAACGGCUCACCUAGGCGACGAUACAUAGCCGACCUGAGAGGGUGAUCGGCCACACUGGGACUGAGACACGGCCCAGACUCCUACGGGAGGCAGCAGUAGGGAAUCUUCGGCAAUGGGGGCAACCCUGACCGAGCAACGCCGCGUGAGUGAAGAAGGUUUUCGGAUCGUAAAGCUCUGUUGUAAGUCAAGAACGAGUGUGAGAGUGGAAAGUUCACACUGUGACGGCAGCUUACCAGAAAGGGACGGCUAACUACGUGCCAGCAGCCGCGGUAAUACGUAGGUCCCGAGCGUUGUCCGGAUUUAUUGGGCGUAAAGCGAGCGCAGGCGGUUUGAUAAGUCUGAAGUUAAAGGCUGUGGCUCAACCAUAGUUCGCUUUGGAAACUGUCAAACUUGAGUGCAGAAGGGGAGAGUGGAAUUCCAUGUGUAGCGGUGAAAUGCGUAGAUAUAUGGAGGAACACCGGUGGCGAAAGCGGCUCUCUGGUCUGUAACUGACGCUGAGGCUCGAAAGCGUGGGGAGCGAACAGGAUUAGAUACCCUGGUAGUCCACGCCGUAAACGAUGAGUGCUAGGUGUUGGAUCCUUUCCGGGAUUCAGUGCCGCAGCUAACGCAUUAAGCACUCCGCCU
RNAcentral lists this ribosomal RNA (860 nucleotides) under uncultured Streptococcus sp. Its description in RNAcentral is "bacterial SSU rRNA". It matches the Rfam family "Bacterial small subunit ribosomal RNA", at positions 31 to 874 of the family's 1533-position model. The record is from RNAcentral. Lineage: Bacteria; Bacillati; Bacillota; Bacilli; Lactobacillales; Streptococcaceae.